GCCUCAUUGACCACAAUAUGAUAAUAUCAUUGUGAUUAAAAGAUAUUGAUGUGUAAAUGGUGCCAUGAAGAUAUUUUGUUUGUUUAAUAAAAUUUCUAGUUAUAAAUAAAACAAUUAACAUAUAGAGCAAUCAACGUAGAGAGUUUUCCGUAUUUUUAUCCAGAAAAAAUUAAAAUGAGUGAUGAUGAUCGAGACAUCGACGUAGAGAGCGACGAAGGUGAUGAUUCUGAUUCUCGUCAAGCAACAGGCAGACAAAAUUCCGGUAAUCAGUAUUAUUCUCAGGCAGAGAAGAGAGCACAUCAUAAUGCUUUGGAAAGGAAACGACGUGAUCACAUAAAAGAUAGUUUUAGCAGUUUAAGAGAUUCUGUGCCUGCCUUAAAUGGCGAAAAAGUGGCCAGCCGAGCUCAAAUUUUAAAAAAGGCUGCAGAGUAUAUUCUCAUAAUGAGAAAAAAGAACAGCUCCCAUCAACAAGAUAUUGAAGAUCUAAAAAGACAGAAUAGCUUAUUAGAAGCUCAAAUUCGUACAUUAGAAAAGGCUAAAUCAACAGGGUCAUACAAUAUAGAUGCUGAUAUCAAAGAUGGAAUGUACAAUGAAACUGAAUCAGAUACAUCAGAUAACGAAGGUUCAAUGCAACCAAGGAGGCCCAAGAAAUUGAAAGUAGGGUCUUAUCAUUAGCACAGGAAACGUUUUUAUAUAUUAAGUAGGUAGUAUUAAAUAAAAUUAAUUACUACUGUAAUUACUGAAUCUGUUUCAACUUUAUUGUUAGUUUUUUGUACUCCACGUUUCUUUUUUUUCUUGAUUUAUUAGAGGAGAAAAAUAAUUUUUUCUCCAAGAUUGGUAGGUAAAUCCUACUUGAAAAUGAGUAUUAUCCUUUGGUAGAAUAGCUAAAAGCAUAUCUAGAGAGAAAAAGGAACAUGAAUUGAAAAAAAUGGUUCAAAAACACUGAUUUGAAAAAAAUGGAAAUUCAUAAAAUAUUUGCAAAAUUACUACAUUUUCACCAAAUGUAUGUCAUUUUAGUGAAAGUAGUUUAGUAAAAUAGCUGUAAUAAAGCAAAUGAAAACGGUUCCUAUUGUAUCGAAUGAUAAUCAAAAUUAGUUUUGAUAGGUUUAGUAGGUUCAGCUCUGUAGUUUUCCCACACUGUUUCAACAGCCCAGUUUUUUUUCUUUUCGGAAUUUCUACGUCCGGAAGUUACGUUGGUAGCUUGAGAAAAAUAACUCAAAUAAUGUUUUCCCAUACAAUCUUUUUGGUAACUUAUUUUACUGGCGACUUAUUUUCUCAUGAAAUAAUUUUUUAACAUCAGUAGUAUGAAUCUUCUGCCUGUUAUUUUGAGACCUCUUACAAUUGAGUUUGUCCUUGAGGACAACAAAUUAUUUGAUACACCAAUACUCGCAAUUACUCUGUCUAAGUAGUGUAAUUGGCAUACUUAGAAACAGGAACUACAGAAAAUGUUUUUACUAUUUGAAAAGACAGCAAAAAGAUAUGCCCUACCUGUCAACGAACAUAACACUAAGUAUAUGGAAAUGGGUAACGAAUUUUUGAGUGACAACCAAUUGAAAAUCACAAUAGACCAAAACAAGAAGUACUGGUUCCAUAGAGUACAAGAGUUUGAAUACAUGGGAGUGACAGUAACAAGUAAAAGGAAAGGAAUUAAAAAAUUCGACAAGAGAUUGGCAAGCGGCAAUAAAAUAAUUGAAGCUCUAGGAAACCUAUUAAGGUGCAAAGAUAUCUCAAGGGAAGCAAAGCUAGAAUUUACAGGACAGUUACAUAACCUACGGUGUUAUAUGGCAGUAAAUGUUGGGUCAUGAAUAAGAGAGAAGAAAACAGGCUAAAUGCAUAGAAGAAAAGAGUGUCGAGAAAAAUUUUUGGUGGGAGAGCAGUGGAACAAGAUUAAAGGUUUAUAUGGUCAGUCAGAGAGGACAAAAAGACUACGUUGGUUGGGGCAUAUAGCCAGAAUGGAAGAAGACAGGUGGGGUGAAAAGAGCCUUAACAAGUGGAGAAUGUGCAAAAAGAAGAAGAGGGCGUCCACUAGAAAAUUGAUAGAAGCAUAUAAGGAAGACUUACGGAAGUUAUAGAUAGUGAACUGGCGUAAUGCAGCCGUGAACAAAAGGAGUAGAGAAACUUCAAACUAUGGGCCUAUAAGGCCUGCUAUGCUGGUUUAUAUAUAUAUAUAUAUAUAUAUAUAUAUAUAUAUAUAUAUAUAUAUAUAUAUAUAUAUAUAUAUAUAUGUAAUGGGGAAUUCUCCUAUAACCAAAGUCAUGUUAAAUUAUUACAAAUAAUGAAAGUUCAACGAAUUUUAGACGACACAUAUUCGAUACUUUUUUUAAAAAGAAAUGUCUACCCUGUUAAAUUUGAUAAAAAAGAUUGGACAUUUAAUUUUUAAAGCGUUGUGUUUCUAGUUCAAUUUCAAUAUUUGGCAACCUCGCAUAGGUGUGAUACUUGUUCUCAAUUCUAAUGGGUUGAAUAAUGUAGGUAGACGUAUUAUAUCUGUAAUCUGAUUGGUCAUUUGAUUAUUUACUUUGUCUUUCCUUUUCUGUUACUUUUAAAACGAUAAAGAAAGCAAGCAAGUCCUAUAUUUUAAUAAACAUAUAUAAAUAUAACCUCAAAUUUUUGUUUACAUAUUUGUUGAUGAAUUUUGUAGUUAUCAAAGUGAAAGAUUGAAAAUAGUGAAAAUAGUUGUGUAAUAGUGUGAAAAUGGCUAAGGUUGAAACUGAUUUUAUUAAAGCUGAUUCAAGCAAUUUACCCCGUGUUACUUCAGAAAUGAUAGCAAAUUAUUUUGUUGAAAAUGCAAACUAUAUAAGGGUGGAAUCACGUGGAAAAAACACAUGAGAUCAGCAAGGCAAUCAUAUGGAGAUUCUGCCAUUGGAUAUGUGUAAUUAAAAAGGAACAAUAAUAUUUGUUUGAUCAAAGCAAAAAUAACGCCAGAAGAUAAAGUACAUUCAAAAGCUUAUGAUGUAAAUGUCAUAGUAAAUGAGAAUGAGAAUAUAAUCAAUCUAUGUGAAUGUGAGGAUUGUGCUGCUGCCAAAGGAGGCUGUAAACAUGCGAUAGCGUUUUUAUUUAGGAGAAGUGAGGAACCAUCUCCUACAGAACAAUUAUGUUAUUGGAAGAAAUCAGAAUUAUUGAAAGUAGGUUCACUGAAAAAAUUUAUGAAAUUGUAUGAGAUUGUAAAAGUUCCAUCAAUGACUGAUGAAAACUCAUCUGUAGUAAUAGAGAAUUUUAGAGAACAUAAUAGAGGAAAAUCCAUAGAUAGUUUGUUACUAAAUAUGGAUAGAGGUCCUUUGUAUCCUACUUUAUCGUUACACCAGCUAUUUAUUCAUUGUCAAAUAGAAAAUGCUGAUAUCGACAUAACUCCAGAAUUUUUCUUAGAGUACUGUUAAAAAAAAUGGAUGUAAAUGAUUGUGCACUUGCUUCCAAGGCUACAAGAAACCAGUCCAAAAAUACAAACUGGUAUGAAUUAAGAUUUGGACGAAUUACAGCUUCGAAGAUUUAUGAGGCAAGCCAAUGUAAAACAGAAGGUUCCUUACUCGAGAAAAUUUUUGAUGCUACAAAAAUUGUGCAGACAAAAGCCAUAGAGAGGCUUAGAAUUAGAAGACGGGGUUAUAAAAUGCAUUGAAAAUAUAUGUCGAAUUGAAACAACGAAAUGUGGACUUGUUUUAAAUAAUAUGUUACCAGUCUUUGGAGCCUCGCCUGAUGCCAUUUCAAGUGAUGCAGUCCUAGAAGUGAAAUGCCCAUUGACUAGUAUAAGUAAUUUUGUCAAGGAUGAAAAAAUUAUUGAAAAAUACAUGGGUCAGAUGCAGUUGGAAAUGAAAAUGUGUAAGAAGACUAAAGCAAUUUUUGCAGUUGCAGAUCCAGAAUUUGAAACAAAUAAUAAAAUUUAUAUACAUAAUGUUACGUGUAAUGAAAUUUAUUGUAACGAGUUAAUUGAAAAUAGUUUACUAUUCUGGAAAAAAUACGUAUUUCCAAAGUUAACUAGGAUUUAUAAAUAAAAUAGUUUCACAA
Diorhabda sublineata is the source of this 3996-nucleotide RNA transcript. It is a transcript of the gene named protein max, with no coding region annotated. The record is from RefSeq and is a predicted model, not a curated record. Lineage: Eukaryota; Metazoa; Arthropoda; Insecta; Coleoptera; Chrysomelidae. The transcript is spliced from 6 exons.